AGCCAUCUCCCGCCCAGCACGUCAUGCCACUGCUGGCCUUUCAAAUAUCUGAAGCAUUCUGGCCAGUGGCAAGAGGAAUUGUGUUUACAUCUUCUCUGAGAGAUGUCCAGAGUUGAGAGAAAAAAAAAAUGGCCAAGACAGUGCUUUUGGCUUAUUGUUUGAAUAUUUAAAGACAUUGCAUCUGGAAAGUAUUCCAUUAAUUUGUGGCUAGCACCCAUAUAUCAAAUUCAUGAGCUUCCAAGUAAACAGCUGUCACUGAAGCUGCCACAGAGGGAAAUUGGCACUGCUGGCUUGUGGUGAGCAGAGAGGGAACACGCUGGUACAGCCUAAUCCAAGGAGGAAACAUUAACCCAGAUGUGUAGAGGACAAUGAACGAAUUGUUCUUUAGAGCUCCUCAGCUUCUCAGCUGGAGUAACACGAGACACAAUUAAGGCCUCAGACUAUUCUGUUCCCUCACACGCAUGCACAGAACUGCACGCACCAUCACAGCCAGGAAGAUGGGGUUGCAUCCUACAGCUAUAGACCAUAAACCAGCCUCUGAGUUGUGUCUGAGGGACAGCUGCCAUCUGUGCUGGAGGCAAAUCUGUCUCCAGGCUGCUUGGAUCACGUAGCUGUUGUUUGAUAUUCACAGAGCUUGGAACACCAACACCCAUUGCUUCUUCAAGGAAGGUUCCAAGACCCAUCCAGGUGUCGGUGUAGCAGGGGGCGCAAUGGGGUGAUUGUCAGAAAACUUCAGGUACUAUGGGGCUGGUGGCAGUGCCAGGGGCCUCAGCUGGAGCUGGGAUUUCCCGUGGGAGCAGCUCAGAGCAAUGCAAGGAGUUCCAGCUGAAAGUGCCAAGGGAGCUUCUGCUACUUCUUCCAACCUGCUGAACUAUGUUCAAUCCAGGGAUCUGCACCCCCUCAGUCUGUGGGGGAGCCUGGAAGGAGCCAGUGAGAGCACCGGGAUGCCGAAGGUGAAGUGAUGGGGCUGGGAUGUGGAAGGUUCGGAAGCUGCAGGUGAGC
RNAcentral lists this long non-coding RNA (1002 nucleotides) under Corvus moneduloides (New Caledonian crow). RNAcentral's name for it is "lncRNA (ENSCMUG00000015357.2)". Lineage: Eukaryota; Metazoa; Chordata; Aves; Passeriformes; Corvidae. The record is from RNAcentral.